GAUGAAGAACGUAGCGAAAUGCGAUAAGUAAUGUGAAUUGCAGAAUUCAGUGAAUCAUCGAAUCUUUGAACGCACAUUGCGCCCUUUGGUAUUCCUUAGGGCAUGCCUGUUCGAGCGUCAUUUAAACCUUCAAGCUAAGCUUGGUGUUGGGUGACUGUCCGCUUCACGGCGGACUCGCCUCAAAAUUAUUGGCGGCCGGUACAUUGGCUUCGAGCGCAGCAGAAACGCGAACUCGGGCCCGUCGUAUUGGCUCCCAGAAGCUAUCUUCACAAUUUUGACCUCGGAUCAGGUAGGGAUACCCGCUGAACUUAAGCUUAUCAAUAAGCGGAGGA
RNAcentral lists this unclassified non-coding RNA (332 nucleotides) under soil metagenome. RNAcentral describes it as "partial contains 5.8S ribosomal RNA, internal transcribed spacer 2, and large subunit ribosomal RNA". The stretch from base 1 to 120 matches the Rfam family "5.8S ribosomal RNA", at positions 35 to 154 of the family's 154-position model. The record is from RNAcentral.